This is a long non-coding RNA of Puntigrus tetrazona (Sumatra barb), 713 nucleotides long. RefSeq lists it as uncharacterized. NCBI's taxonomy places the organism in Eukaryota, Metazoa, Chordata, Actinopteri, Cypriniformes, Cyprinidae. The transcript is spliced from 3 exons. The record is from RefSeq and is a predicted model, not a curated record.
CGAUCGUAUUGGAUAAGUGAUGGUGACUGACAUUUGUAACAGCCAAUCAGCAGUAAGUGUGACCUAUUUUAGAGCAGGUUGGCUUUGUUGGGUCAUGCGUCACCUCCGGCCCCGCCUUUUUGGUUUUUUUGUUAUGUUGACUUGUGUUUUAGGUAUGUGUUAGCAGUUAGCUCUUCGUUUGUCUCUUUUAUAAUGUUGUGGACUAAUCGUUUGUUAUUUCAUUCUAGCCUGUCUUUUCCUUUGUUUUCUGUCGAUGGCCAUGAGUUUAAUGACUGCUGUUUAUUCAGGUAAGCGCUUAAUACUGCUAGAAAAUGGGUUGGUAUGGACGGAGUGCGCAGUUUGAAUAAUAGGCAGUUUCCUGUACCCUAGCUUGUUAUUGGUAUUACUGAGGAUGCCGAAUCCCAAUUUGUGAAUGCGUGCGAGCAUACUUUUUCCGGUUUGGAGCUGGGGUUCCACGGGUGCAGGAGCUUGAGGUGGUGGUGUCACUUCAUCAUUUGCUGUGGACACGUUUGUGUGUGCAGUGAGUGUGUCGGUGUGUGUGUGUGUGUGGUGUAAGUGUGCUUUUGGCUAAAUUCAGCACUGGUGAUCACUCCCGUGGGUGACCUCAGCCCUUUACCAUUGGAGAGUGCUGCCGGCAGUAGGUGAUGAGGAUUCAAUGUGACUUUUAAAUGGUGAAACAAUUGUGAAAAUAAAUUUUGUACUUUCAUGCUUUA